CCUACGGGUGGCAGCAGUGAGGAAUAUUGGUCAAUGGGCGAGAGCCUGAUCCAGCGAAGUAGCGUGAAGGAUGACUGCCCUACGGGUUGUAAACUUCUUUUAUAAAGGAGUAAAGUGAGGCACGUGUGCCUUUUUGUAUGUACUUUAUGAAUAAGGAUCGGCUAACUCCGUGCCAGCAGCCGCGGUAAUACGGAGGAUCCGAGCGUUAGCCGGAUUUAUUGGGUUUAAAGGGAGCGUAGAUGGGUUGUUAAGUCAGUUGUGAAAGGUUGCGGCUCAACCGUAAAAUUGCAAUUGAUACUGGCAGCCUUGAGUGCAGUUGAGGUAAGCGGAAUUCGUGGUGUAGCGGUGAAAUGCUUAGAUAUCACGAAGAACUCCGAUUGCGAAGGCAGCCUACUAAACUGCCACUGACAUUGAUGCUCGAAAGUGUGGGUAUCAAACAGGAUUAGAUACCCCAGUAGUC
This 460-nucleotide ribosomal RNA is filed under the name uncultured bacterium. RNAcentral describes it as "partial 16S ribosomal RNA". It matches the Rfam family "Bacterial small subunit ribosomal RNA", at positions 338 to 795 of the family's 1533-position model. The record is from RNAcentral.